This 162-nucleotide unclassified non-coding RNA is filed under the name uncultured Ascomycota. RNAcentral's name for it is "sequence contains ITS2". Lineage: Eukaryota; Fungi; Ascomycota. The record is from RNAcentral.
UCACCUAUCAAGCUGGGCUUGUUAUUGGACUGGUCGCUGUUUAAGCAGUGGCGGUCCGAAAGAUAAUGGCGGAGUCGAGUUAACCCCUUGUAUAAUGAGCUUUAACUGCACGUACGAGUGGAGAGUUGACCGGCCCGGUUCAAACUUUAAUCCAACUUCAAA